Molecule: ribosomal RNA, 585 nt
Filed under: Triticum aestivum (bread wheat)
Lineage: Eukaryota; Viridiplantae; Streptophyta; Magnoliopsida; Poales; Poaceae
Description: partial small subunit ribosomal RNA
Source: RNAcentral
AUGGCGGCGACGCCCCCUGCCGCCGCCGCCGCCGCCGCGGGCGGGGCGCACAGCGUGUUCGUGUACGGGAGCCUCAUGGCAGACGAGGUGGUCAGCGCCAUCCUCAAGCGCAUCCCGGCCUCCUCCCCGGCGCUCCUCGCCAACCACCAUAGGUUUAACGUCAAGGAUCGUAUUUAUCCAGCAAUCCUACCUGUUGAAAGCAAGAAAGUUGCUGGAAAGGUUAUCAUGGGUAUUUCUGACGCGGAACUCAUUGUCUUGGAUGCAUUUGAGGAUUUUGAGUAUGUAAGGAGAAGAGUUCAGAUAUCACUAACCAUGGUUUUGCUCAAAGAAAGUUUGGCCUUACAGGAUACUUCAGAGACAAUGCAUGCUGACACUUAUGUAUGGAGUGAUGCAGAGGAUCCAGAUCUGUAUGGUGAAUGGGAUUUCGAGGAGUGGAAGAGGGUUCACAUGAAGGAUUUCCUAACGAUGACACUCGGAUUCAUGGACGGACUCGAACGGCCCGAACCGAAGACCCGGGUCGAGACCUAUCAGUCUUUCAUGCACGAGCACGAACAACCUGAAUCAGGAACCCAGGUCGAGAGUUGA